AGAGUUUGAUCCUGGCUCAGGAUGAACGCUGGCGGCGUGCCUAAUACAUGCAAGUCGAGCGAACGGACGAGAAGCUUGCUUUUCUGAUGUUAGCGGCGGACGGGUGAGUAACACGUGGAUAACCUACCUAUAAGACUGGGAUAACUUCGGGAAACCGGAGCUAAUACCGGAUAAUAUUUUGAACCGCAUGGUUCAAAAGUGAAAGACGGUCUUGCUGUCACUUAUAGAUGGAUCCGCGCUGCAUUAGCUAGUUGGUAAGGUAACGGCUUACCAAGGCAACGAUGCAUAGCCGACCUGAGAGGGUGAUCGGCCACACUGGAACUGAGACACGGUCCAGACUCCUACGGGAGGCAGCAGUAGGGAAUCUUCCGCAAUGGGCGAAAGCCUGACGGAGCAACGCCGCGUGAGUGAUGAAGGUCUUCGGAUCGUAAAACUCUGUUAUUAGGGAAGAACAUAUGUGUAAGUAACUGUGCACAUCUUGACGGUACCUAAUCAGAAAGCCACGGCUAACUACGUGCCAGCAGCCGCGGUAAUACGUAGGUGGCAAGCGUUAUCCGGAAUUAUUGGGCGUAAAGCGCGCGUAGGCGGUUUUUUAAGUCUGAUGUGAAAGCCCACGGCUCAACCGUGGAGGGUCAUUGGAAACUGGAAAACUUGAGUGCAGAAGAGGAAAGUGGAAUUCCAUGUGUAGCGGUGAAAUGCGCAGAGAUAUGGAGGAACACCAGUGGCGAAGGCGACUUUCUGGUCUGUAACUGACGCUGAUGUGCGAAAGCGUGGGGAUCAAACAGGAUUAGAUACCCUGGUAGUCCACGCCGUAAACGAUGAGUGCUAAGUGUUAGGGGGUUUCCGCCCCUUAGUGCUGCAGCUAACGCAUUAAGCACUCCGCCUGGGGAGUACGACCGCAAGGUUGAAACUCAAAGGAAUUGACGGGGACCCGCACAAGCGGUGGAGCAUGUGGUUUAAUUCGAAGCAACGCGAAGAACCUUACCAAAUCUUGACAUCCUUUGACAACUCUAGAGAUAGAGCUUUCCCCUUCGGGGGACAAAGUGACAGGUGGUGCAUGGUUGUCGUCAGCUCGUGUCGUGAGAUGUUGGGUUAAGUCCCGCAACGAGCGCAACCCUUAAGCUUAGUUGCCAUCAUUAAGUUGGGCACUCUAAGUUGACUGCCGGUGACAAACCGGAGGAAGGUGGGGAUGACGUCAAAUCAUCAUGCCCCUUAUGAUUUGGGCUACACACGUGCUACAAUGGACAAUACAAAGGGCAGCGAAACCG
This 1268-nucleotide ribosomal RNA is filed under the name Staphylococcus aureus H32175. Its description in RNAcentral is "bacterial SSU rRNA". It matches the Rfam family "Bacterial small subunit ribosomal RNA", at positions 8 to 1257 of the family's 1533-position model. The record is from RNAcentral. Lineage: Bacteria; Bacillati; Bacillota; Bacilli; Caryophanales; Staphylococcaceae.